UAAGCACAAGGGAAACAUGCGCUGGUUUUGUUUAUAUUUUCGGUCAGCUGCGUCGCCGAGGCAGUGGUUUAAGAGAGCUGUGGUGGAUAGACUAGAGCUACUUUUGCCAUAGUUGGCCUCGUUUAGCUUUUGUUCCGCUUCCUAAAACUUUUUUACUUCCUCGCCAUGAGAUGAUUAAACAUUUCUAGAUUUACUCCUGUCCCCGCUCCACGGGCUGAAGGUUUUCGCAAUGAGAACCUGCAACCGACUAUCUGUUCUUAUUGUGAACCUAAUUUUCAUCACACCAUUUCCAGAUCUUCAGGCACAAAAACUGGAAGUAACGCCUAAAGUGACUGGAAUACUUGGCCAAGAAGUCAUUUUGAAAUGCCAGUUCAUCCAAGGACCAAAAAACACCUCCAUUACUCAGAUUCAAUGGGAUUUCGUGUCAGACAAAGAAAACAGUACAAUUCUUGUUUUUAGCAGCGAGUAUGGGAUGACUAUUAAAGAAUCCUCCCUGAAGGAAAGAGUGAAUCUUACAGAACAGUCACUGAAAAUUAUAGACGUGAAAAAGACAGAUGCAGGUUUAUACACCUGCAGUAUUGCUGUAUUUCCCAGUGGAUCUUUUGAAGAAACCACUAGACUUGUUGUUGACGGUAAGUAGGCAAUUUUCUUAUCAGAUGCAAAAAUAUUGCUAAUCAGCAUAGAUGAACUUCAUUUCAUUGCCUUGCUUGUCCUCUAUUCCUGU
Molecule: long non-coding RNA, 724 nt
Organism: Fundulus heteroclitus (mummichog)
Lineage: Eukaryota; Metazoa; Chordata; Actinopteri; Cyprinodontiformes; Fundulidae
Exons: 3
Source: RefSeq, a predicted model, not a curated record